GAUGAACGCUGGCGGCGUGCCUAAUACAUGCAAGUCGAGCGAACAGACGAGGAGCUUGCUCCUCUGACGUUAGCGGCGGACGGGUGAGUAACACGUGGAUAACCUACCUAUAAGACUGGGAUAACUUCGGGAAGCCGGAGCUAAUACCGGAUAAUAUAUUGAACCGCAUGGUUCAAUAGUGAAAGACGGUUUUGCUGUCACUUAUAGAUGGAUCCGCGCCGCAUUAGCUAGUUGGUAAGGUAACGGCUUACCAAGGCGACGAUGCGUAGCCGACCUGAGAGGGUGAUCCGCCACACUGGAACUGAGACACGGUCCAGACUCCUACGGGAGGCAGCAGUAGGGAAUCUUCCGCAAUGGGCGAAAGCCUGACGGAGCAACGCCGCGUGAGUGAUGAAGGUCUUCGGAUCGUAAAACUCUGUUAUUAGGGAAGAACAAAUGUGUAAGUAACUAUGCACGUCUUGACGGUACCUAAUCAGAAAGCCACGGCUAACUACGUG
This 497-nucleotide ribosomal RNA is filed under the name uncultured bacterium. RNAcentral's name for it is "partial 16S ribosomal RNA". It matches the Rfam family "Bacterial small subunit ribosomal RNA", at positions 28 to 507 of the family's 1533-position model. The record is from RNAcentral.